CAGCAGCCGCGGGAAUACGAAGGGUGCAAGCGUUAAUCGGAAUUACUGGGCGUAAAGCGUGCGUAGGCGGUGAGUUAAGUCUGCUGUGAAAUCCCCGGGCUCAACCUGGGAAUGGCAGUGGAUACUGGCUCGCUAGAGUGUGUCAGAGGAUGGUGGAAUUCCCGGUGUAGCGGUGAAAUGCGUAGAGAUCGGGAGGAACAUCAGUGGCGAAGGCGGCCAUCUGGGACAACACUGACGCUGAGGCACGAAAGCGUGGGGAGCAAACAGGAUUAGAUACCCGGUAGUCCCUGUCUCUUAUACA
Molecule: ribosomal RNA, 301 nt
Filed under: uncultured bacterium
Lineage: Bacteria
Description: partial 16S ribosomal RNA
Rfam family: Bacterial small subunit ribosomal RNA
Source: RNAcentral